Molecule: non-coding RNA, 519 nt
Organism: Phascolarctos cinereus (koala)
Lineage: Eukaryota; Metazoa; Chordata; Mammalia; Diprotodontia; Phascolarctidae
Source: RefSeq, a predicted model, not a curated record
CAGCUAUAUGAAAUGCAAAUAUUUUGUCAGUUAUUAGUAUAAAAGAGCUCUCAGUUACCAUAGUGAAUGAAUGGAAUCAAUUGAAGAGGUUAUUGGGGAUGGGAGAUAGAGGAGGGGACAAGUAAUGUGAAGAUGAGGGUUGAUUUUCUAACAGAGACAACAAUGGCCAACACAUCAAUGGAGAACCAGUGGGAAAGACAAUGAAGUGAGCAGUAACCAGGAAGAACCUCUCUAUGGCAUCCAUUUAUGUGAUUGUGACUGGGCUCUUCUCCUACACUUGCUAGACUAAAGAAUGCUUUGACUAAACAAGAAACAUGAAAUACUCAGCUAAACUUUCGACAAAUGAGAAUAUGAAAUGCCAAGUUGCUGAAGAGUUGAAGAAAGGACAGCUUCAGUUAAACCACGAGAGCAAAAAUUACACCAGUGAAUGUUGAAUGUAAUUUCACUUCACCAGCAAGUUGCUAGCAGCUGGAGGCAACCAUUCUCAGAUCACUUUGCAAUUCUCACCCUUAUCUUAAA